RNAcentral lists this transfer RNA (73 nucleotides) under Haemaphysalis longicornis (longhorned tick). It matches the Rfam family "tRNA". Rfam says of the family: Transfer RNA (tRNA) molecules are approximately 80 nucleotides in length. Their secondary structure includes four short double-helical elements and three loops (D, anti-codon, and T loops). Further hydrogen bonds mediate the characteristic L-shaped molecular structure. tRNAs have two regions of fundamental functional importance: the anti-codon, which is responsible for specific mRNA codon recognition, and the 3' end, to which the tRNAs corresponding amino acid is attached (by aminoacyl-tRNA synthetases). tRNAs cope with the degeneracy of the genetic code in two manners: having more than one tRNA (with a specific anti-codon) for a particular amino acid; and 'wobble' base-pairing, i.e. permitting non-standard base-pairing at the 3rd anti-codon position. Lineage: Eukaryota; Metazoa; Arthropoda; Arachnida; Ixodida; Ixodidae. The record is from Rfam by way of RNAcentral.
CCGCCGGUAGCGUAGUGGUGAUCGCACCAGGCCGGUACUCUGGAGGUCGUGGGUUCGAAUCCCACCUGGCGGG